GCAUACGAUAGCGAGGUCUGCGGAUCUUGCGACAAAAACGCAGGAUUCGCUCUAGGAGGAGCCCGCGGCUGAUUAGCUAGUUGGUGAGGUAAUGGCUCACCAAGGCAACGAUCAGUAGCCGGUCUGAGAGGACGGUCGGCCACACUGGAACUGAGACACGGUCCAGACUCCUACGGGAGGCAGCAGUGGGGAAUUUUUGGCAAUGGGGGCAACCCUGACCAAGCAACGCCGCGUGGGUGAUGAAGUCUCUUGGGACGU
This 258-nucleotide ribosomal RNA is filed under the name uncultured Acidobacteriota bacterium. RNAcentral's name for it is "uncultured Acidobacteria bacterium partial 16S ribosomal RNA". It matches the Rfam family "Bacterial small subunit ribosomal RNA", at positions 171 to 426 of the family's 1533-position model. Lineage: Bacteria; Pseudomonadati; Acidobacteriota. The record is from RNAcentral.